Molecule: ribosomal RNA, 322 nt
Filed under: uncultured bacterium
Lineage: Bacteria
Description: bacterial SSU rRNA
Rfam family: Bacterial small subunit ribosomal RNA
Source: RNAcentral
AGGGUUUGAUUCUGGCUCAGGACGAACGCUGGCGGCGUGCUUCAUACAUGCAAGUCGAACGAGAAUCUGACUUCGGUCAGAGGAAAGUGGCGGACGGGUGAGUAAAAUGUAGAGAAUCUGCCUAUGAGUGGGGGACAACAUUGGGAAACCGAUGCUAAUACCGCAUAUGAGUAUAUUUGAGAUAAUAUACUUGAAAACUGGGGUGCUCAUAGAUGAGUCUGCAUCUGAUUAGCUAGUUGGGGGUGUAAUGGACCACCAAGGCGACGAUCAGUAGCUGGUUUGAGAGGAUGAUCAGCCACAAUGGGACUGAGACACGGCCCAU